GGAAGGAGUGCAAGGGAUAUGAAGCAGAGGAUAAAGCAGGGUCGGAUCGCCUUCAAUAAAUAGAACUCACAUUCUUCUAUCUUCUGCUAUCAUGCAGUUGUUCUUGGAAUUCUCCACUACAUAAUUUAAUAGUAAAGCAACAUCGGAUUUGAUCUUGGACAUCAUACGACCAAAACGCUGCCCGAUGAAUACCAAGAGUGAAAACGUAUGACCAAAAUCAAGGGUUAAUGCUUAAAACCAAGAUAAAUACCAUGCCUGAUAUGGAAUUUUGUUCAUCACAAUCCAUCUCCUUAGCCCAGUGCUGGUCGUCAUUCCUAUUUUCUUAUGACAAAGUACGUAUCCGUGUGCUAAAGUAUCAAAACCUUUGCAGAUUGUAGACGUACUUACAUAGAUUUAUACAAUCUUUUAUAACUUUUUUAUCUAUCCAUAUCCCCUAUGCCUUUUUUUUUUUAAUUUUUUUACCGAAAUUAUUUUGCUCUCGCCUUUACAAUAAGCUUUCUUAAAAUAGUUCACGAAAUGUGUAGCUACCAGCUCAGCUGUUGGGUCUUUUUUAAGCUUCACGAUACUUUUACGAUCAUUCCUUUCGCCGUUAUUCAUAUAAUAUACAGUUAUUUCCUCAGUUCAUGGCUUCUGUAAAAUUUUUAUUGUUCACCGGCGUUUUUAUCGUAUUACAUUAUAGAACGUGUUUUCUUAAGGAAUAUAGAAAUUUAUUUCAAUCUGUCACCGAACUACCGGUGACAAAGGAAUGAAAAAAUAAAUGUCUUUUUGUCAGUGUAUUAUUUCGAUCAUGAUUAUAAAUUCAAUAUAAAACGAACCGACUCUGUAUUUAUAUUUCGAGUGGUUUUAUCUGUUCUUCAUUAAUUUUCUUUUUCUACUUCAUCUUGAUAAUGACAAAUGCGAAAGUUAGAAAUCAGACUCCGAAUAAAUGAGUUAAAUGAGGAGGUGUUACAAAGAAUAGAAAAACAGAGGUCCCUGUGGAUCAAUAGGAAAUAGGCCAGAUAGGCUGGUGUUGGUUGGACAUCUUCUCAAGCAUAUAGAGCUAGUCAGAAGUAGAGACAUAUUGGAAGCAGAAUCAGAAGUUAAGAACAGUGGAGUUUCAGGGAAAAGCAAAUAUUAGUUCAGGAUAGAAAAAUGUGGAGGUGCUGUCCAACUAAUCUUACGACUUGAGGACGUUAUGAUGCUGUUGAUAUACAUAAAGACAAAAAUUCGAAGUACAAGUCGGAAGUUACAACUCGUAGAAAUCAGUACUUAUAUGCAUUUGUUUCUUAAUUUUUCCAUAUUUUCUGAUUUUAAUACAUUACAUUGCUCUAAUGUUUGAACUGUUUACCGUUAACUGUAUUCAAUUCUAAGUAAUUUUGUAUCAAAAACUCCAAAUGUUUUACUUACCUUCUUAUCACAAAUAGAGAGGAAGUACG
Molecule: long non-coding RNA, 1415 nt
Organism: Agrilus planipennis (emerald ash borer)
Lineage: Eukaryota; Metazoa; Arthropoda; Insecta; Coleoptera; Buprestidae
Exons: 3
Source: RefSeq, a predicted model, not a curated record